This 253-nucleotide ribosomal RNA is filed under the name uncultured bacterium. RNAcentral's name for it is "partial 16S ribosomal RNA". It matches the Rfam family "Bacterial small subunit ribosomal RNA", at positions 524 to 776 of the family's 1533-position model. The record is from RNAcentral.
UACGUAGGGGGCAAGCGUUGUCCGGAUUUAUUGGGCGUAAAGAGCGUGUAGGCGGCCAGGUAGGUCUGCUGUGAAAACUCGAGGCUCAACCUCGAGAUGUCGGCGGAAACCAUCUGGCUAGAGUCCGGAAGAGGAAAGUGGAAUUCCCGGUGUAGCGGUGAAAUGCGCAGAUAUCGGGAAGAACACCCGUGGCGAAGGCGGCUCUCUGGGACGGUACUGACGCUGAGACGCGAAAGCGUGGGGAGCGAACAGG